CGGCUUGCCGUCCUUUUUCCCGGCAUGCCGAGCGGUGGCGCGGUUGGGCUGUGGAGUCGCGAUGGCGGCCGCGUCUCCGAGCUGCGACAUGUUCGAUGAGAUCGUGAUGGCCGAGGAGAGGUUUCAUAGUGAGGGGUAUCAGGAGGGGUAUGCUGAAGGCAGUCAUGCUGGAGUUGUUGAGGGAAGGAGGUACGGAUCGCUCCAUGGUGCCAAGAUCGGAUCUGAGAUUGGCUGCUACCUUGGGUUUGCACUGACAUGGCAGUGUCUGCUCCAGAAAUGCACGAAUGAAAAGAACAGCAAAAAGGUAAGGGCUCUGGAUUCAUUAAUAGGGAUGAUUCAGAAAUUCCCAUAUGAAGACCCCACUUACGAUAAGCUACAAGAAGAUCUGGAAAAAAUCAGAGGAAAAUUUAAACAGAGACACACAGCGUUUUAAAUGACAAAAAGAAACGCCUCAUAUCCUAAAGUCAUCAUGCCGUUGGCUCCUACAUACCCCUGGCCUUCACAGUAAGAUCUCUAUGAAGUCCUUUCACCUCUUCUCGAGAUAUGACAGAUCAAUCCUGACUAAGGAUUCUACUUGCUUGCCCUGUACCAUGUACCUCAGUCACCCUUGGAACCAGAUGUAUUAAAGAGCAGUACAUGAAUACAGGCCUAGGUAUUUUUGGUUUUACAAACCCAGGCACUUUUAAGGGUAAUUCUGUUUUAACAAGGUGGCAUGUUCAGUAUUCUAAACUGAAAGCCAAUUUAUUUUCAGAGCAAAAUGAACCCAGUCAGCUUUCUGGCAGGGCUUGGGGAGGGUGGAUUGUUUGGUUGGUUUUGGUGGGGCUUUUGUGUUUAGGUGUUGGUUUUAUUUAUUUUUUUUUAAUCCUAACCAUUUGCAUAGAGUGUGUUUGAGCUCUGAAAACUCAAACCAUUCAAAAGAAUUUCUAUAAAUACCUAUUCUUCUCCCUCUGGAGUCCAGUCAUGAAUAAUUACAUAGAACUAUGUAAUUUAAAGAUAAUUUUUGACCACAGACUUUUUUCCCCUGUGAGAUUCUCAGAGUACAGUAUGUUGUAACUAUUUUUUUAAAACAUAAUCUUUACAAUUUGUCAUGAACAGACUAUGUCUUAAGCUGCAGUUAAAUGAACAGUAUUUUUUUAAUGUUUUAGGCAUUUCUGUUAAUUUCUUAUUCAAAUUACUAUUAGAUGACUAGUUUCUCUGCAGGAAUGUAUUAGAGCUAGCAAAAAUAACUGCAAAACAUAAAAUUCCCUGUGAACAACCUCAUCAAAGCUUUUUUCACUCUCAGUACUUCUCAACACUGAACAGCAAAUACAAAACUUGUGCAUUACUCUGAUAACUUCUCCCAACAACUUUUCUGCUUCACUACCCAAAUUUUCAAUGCCCACAGUUUGUUCAAGGUCAUAAACCCUUCCUGGAUUAAUUAAACUCCUCAGUGAAAAAAAAAAAAAAAAACUUGCUAGCUUAACUGAUGUGGUCAAAUACCUUUAACACACACAGUAGACAUGAUCAGACUCCAGGGUCAGAUACUAAAGGAAACAACAACAAAAAAGAAAUUGCUUGGAAAUCCUUUGUUACUGCCUGACCCGUUCUGGAUAACAAGCAUAUGUCUGAAGGUGCCUCUGAGUAGGGGCAGGCAGGAGACGAAUUCCAAUGUACGAACAGACAGCAUGGAAACCCAAUCUAAUCUAGUUUAGCAAAUUUCUGGCCUGGAAAUGAAUGUCAGGUAAAAUUCCAUCUGUUUGGAUGAUGGGGUCAAGAAUAGAAUGAUGGAAGACAGCCCAAGACUUCUAAUUGUGAUUAUCUGACUUCUAAUUACCCCUGAUCAAAGGCAAAAUGGGAAAUUGGACUCCUACCAACGUAAACAUGAACCAUAAAGGAAUUCCAAUCAGGUGAUACUCAUUUUACUUUAGAUUCAGCUUUCUUUGAGACUAAAGGUAAAAAAGUGUAAUUAUAUAACCUGAAAUCCAACAGACCAGCUGCUCUAGCUAAUAGAUAAUCAGGGAGAAUGUUAGCCCUGUUAUAAUGCACGCUCUUAAUAUUUCAAGACAAUCCAAUAUAAAGUGUAUUCAUUUGUGUGGUCUGACAGGGGGAACCAUCACUGUGGAGUAACAAACUUCAUGUAAGAUAACAGGAAUAGCAUUUGAUACCAUGGAUUACAUAGGCACAUUUUACGGGAAAUUCCCUGUGAAGGGGAAUCAGGAAUGCGUUUGAUCCGUGGCAGUGUACACCUUGGAGGAGAAUCAGAAACAAAGGAAGUAAGUGGCACAAGUAAACGUCUAAUUUUGUGAGGAAGAAAGGGAAAUGCCACAUUAUACACAAGAACCUGAGAUACAUUCCUUCAGCUUUUAUCAGAAUACAACUUCCUCUGGGCUGAAAAAAUAUAAACCAUCUGUCAAACCCUUGAAUGAAAUCAAAGGAAUGGACAGCUUAGAGGGCUCAGUGGAACAGUUUAAGUAUUAAAUCAUGCAUCUCCUUUAUUAUGAUAAAAUAACUUUUGUGUAAAUGUUUUACCAGUGAAACUAAAGACUUUGGGACUCUAUGAAAGUCCUCUCUCUGAAUCUAUUCAUAUACCUCUGACACUCCAUUGUAGCCCUGACCAAUACCCACCUUCAAAGGGGCAUUUUGCCCAGCAUUCUGUGAACCUUCGAAAUUAAACUGCUACAAUGAAUUGUGGCCCAACUUUUGUGAUGCACUGCCAGAGAAAAGGCGCACGUGAUCUGAAGUCAUCUCAUGUAUGUUACCGUGCUUUAAAAAAAAUUUAGUUUACCCCCUUUUCCUAAUCCGCCCAUUUCCAAGCAGAUAUAAAUACACCAACCCUCUAGCAAGCUUGUGUCAGCCCCCAAAAUCAAAGUUGUCCAGACCGCUUAAUGACACUAUUCACAUUCCAAAGCCAGUCCCCUAACUGAAAUACUGAUACCCAGGUGGACUUCAGAAAUGAGGGAUUUCAGUAGGCAAGCAUGAAUUCCACCAAGAUUGGGUUGCUCAGAGGGGUACAGUGGGCAGUGUGUUUACGCCACUAUUUACCAAGCUCCACAAACAGAACAUGACCAAAAUGUGUCAGUUUAAUGAGUCUGUCCUGAUAGAAUCACGUUUUGGAUUAAUAUUUGCAUUCUUCUUUUAAAUGGAGCAGUAAACAAGAACAGGAAUUCAUAGUCACACCCUCAUUCUUUCCAAGGUGGAAAAGUGAUAAUGAAGUUUAAAUGACCAGUUUGUGUCUGUCCCUAUAACCACUCCAGACAAGCAGCAUGGACUGCCUUUUUGUUGCAACUCAACAAGGAAUUAUUUGUGGCAGAGGCCACUAAUUUCAGCAUAUUAAUCAGGGGGCCCCUCUCGCCUGUAAUUGGAUGCCCCCAAGUGAAGAGUGUGGCAUCAUUGUCAGCCUCCAUCGCCUCAUCUUGCGCUAUUGAGCGCUCAGGAACAAGGGGGCUUCGGUGAGAUGAAUUAGACCUGACACAGCCACAAUGGGGUAGGGGGCCCCAUCAAUUGAAGCACACAUCCCCAGUAGCCUAUCUGAGACUUCAUCCAAAAAGAAUAAACAACUUCAGCGUUGUUAAAAAGAGAGAGAGAGAGAGAGAGAGGAGGGGGAGGAGAGAGAAGAAUGCCAGCCACCCUGAAGGGAGGACAAAGCAGGCAUAUAGGCGCUGCAGCGCUUUAAAAAAAAUUCCUAACAAGGCGAGUCACCCCUUUUCCUUUUUAAAUGGAGCAGCAAUUCCAUCCGUCUGGAGAGCUGGGGGCUAUGAAUGAAAAUCUUUUCAUUGAGGCAAAUCAAAACUGCGAACAUAAAUCACUUGCUGCAAGAUGCAACAGGUUCCAACUGGUCACAUACCUUGAGACUUCCAAUUUUAUAAAGGCCAGAGAAUAGGAGAAUUGUAACACGCUUGUUUCAAAGCGGGAUCUUUCUUUCUCCAUCCGAGAGGAGGAAAGCAACAACAAUAAUAAUAGCAAU
RNA transcript from Tyto alba (common barn owl), 3943 nucleotides. It is a transcript of the gene named LTO1 maturation factor of ABCE1, with no coding region annotated. The record is from RefSeq and is a predicted model, not a curated record. The transcript is spliced from 6 exons. NCBI's taxonomy places the organism in Eukaryota, Metazoa, Chordata, Aves, Strigiformes, Tytonidae.